UAGAAACCCUCUGCCACAAACUGAUACAAAUAUUUUGGUAUGCACUCUCGCUUCUUUGUGAAGAGGUAAGAACCCAGCGAAGAAAAAUAAAAUUAAAGAUUACACAAGAUUCACAUUCGAUGAUCUAUUCGUCUGAUAUAAGCCAGGUUUGGUUUCAAAGAAGUUCUCGACUUCACAUUAGAAUGUCAGGCUCAUAUCAAAAUUGCUUAUUCAAAAAACAAAGUACACAAGUCACAUAACCUGAUAUAAGCCAGGUUUGAUGUUGCAAAUCUUUGCAAAAAAACAGUAUCCCAAUAAUUCUUCAUAUGUGCCUAUCAUAUCUUCCAUUCUGUAGCAUCCUUCCAAAUACAGGUGUAACUAACAACAGCAUCAGCAAGAACAAGAAAACCAAGGAGCAGAGCAUGGCAUGGCAUUCAGGGUAAACCUCGUAGCAGAAGUAGUCACUCACAGGUUGUUUGGGAGUAGACCGACAAACGGCCACCCACACUAUACAAGAAUGGUGCUCCUAGCCGAGUUCCCGACGAAGGCGCGCCGGAAGCGCCACAACAUGAGCGCCUUGUACCUCCG
This 567-nucleotide long non-coding RNA is filed under the name Hordeum vulgare. Its description in RNAcentral is "long non-coding RNA (HVUL_LNC004954)". Lineage: Eukaryota; Viridiplantae; Streptophyta; Magnoliopsida; Poales; Poaceae. The record is from RNAcentral.